AUGGAUAAAUAAAUAAAAAUGAAAAUUAGUAAGUCUGAGAAGCUAUUUAAAGUAUCACUAUCAGCAGAGACUGCAAAAUAUAAGUCUCUAUAUCAAUUUCAGAACCUGAACUUUGUUCAAAAAUUUAGGUACAACUAGCUCAGGCAUUAAAAAAUUCGAAAAUUGUGCAUUUGCUGCUCUUUAAUUAGAGUUUGGCUACUGAUCCACCUAUUAGGCCAGCAUUAUUCUGGAAUUGAAGUGCUGCCUAUUAUUCCCAAAAUUAUUCCGAAAUAAUCGGGACACCCCUAGGCAGUACUACUCAUUGAUUAGAGAGAAGGAGUGAUGAGGAUAUCAAAGAGAUUAUUUAGUAGUCACAAUGCUAAUGUACUGGAAUGUGGUGUACCUGUAUAAGUAGUAGUGUCAUUGGUACUGGAUAGAGCUAUUAGAGAGGAGGAAGAGGAGACAGUAAAGGAAGCAUGUCAUUCACUACUAGUGAUGUAUGACAGGAUCACUUUAUAAUCAUUGAUUAGAGUGUAUGUAUGUAACUGGAACUUUAAAACAUCAUGAACACCCACGCAAUGGAAGUGUAUUAAUUAAGUGAUUGUGGGAGUGGCUGGAUAUGAUGGCUGGAGUUGAUGAUGAGAAUUGUUGUGGGGAUUGUGAUGAAAAUAAUGGAUCAUCUAGAUGAAGCUGUUACUAAAUCCAGAAGCUCCUUGAAGACUAUGUUUAAUAAAGGAGUGAAGUACCAGGCCUACUUGAAGAGAGUUGUAGAAACUAAGGGGGUUGGUAAAACCGGGCUCGGGAGGGGCUCGGGCACGGGAAAUGGCGGGGUAAAACCGGGCUGCCCCGGACUGGGGCUUCACCUAUUUUCAUGGAAUAAGGACUGAUAUGGAGCUAGUAAGGACAUAGAACAAACUACUGAGGAAGCCAUGAAUCCCCCUUGACUAAUGCUGGGAACAAGGCCGCUCUACUCCCAUCUUUCUACGGUCCACUUUAACUCUCUCAUUUUUAUUUCUGAUUUUAUUUGCUGUCAUUGUUAUCUUAAUUCUCAUUUUCCUUGAUUGUUGAUUUAUUUUUAUUUAUUUAUAUUUAUUACUAUUAUUUUUACUGUUGAUCAUUAUUCAUUUCCACUUUUCUUUUUGUUUUCCAGGGGCCAUAGCAGUUCAGUCUUGCUGGGAUGUCUGUACUGUAUUAUCAAACUUACUCAAUUUGGUUUAUUGUAAAUGAAUUAUAUUACAAAACCGAA
Amphimedon queenslandica is the source of this 1225-nucleotide long non-coding RNA. RefSeq lists it as uncharacterized. The record is from RefSeq and is a predicted model, not a curated record. NCBI's taxonomy places the organism in Eukaryota, Metazoa, Porifera, Demospongiae, Haplosclerida, Niphatidae. The transcript is spliced from 2 exons.